GGGCUCGUAGUCUAGCUUGGUAGGAUCCGAGGUUCGGGACCUCGUGGCCGGAGUUCAAAUCUCCGCGAGCCCA
Molecule: transfer RNA, 73 nt
Filed under: Candidatus Aenigmatarchaeota archaeon
Lineage: Archaea; Nanobdellati; Candidatus Aenigmatarchaeota
Description: tRNA-Pro
Rfam family: tRNA
About the family: Transfer RNA (tRNA) molecules are approximately 80 nucleotides in length.
Source: RNAcentral